Long non-coding RNA from Trichomycterus rosablanca, 216 nucleotides. RefSeq lists it as uncharacterized. NCBI's taxonomy places the organism in Eukaryota, Metazoa, Chordata, Actinopteri, Siluriformes, Trichomycteridae. The transcript has 3 exons. The record is from RefSeq and is a predicted model, not a curated record.
CAUUUCCAGAACCCUCCUCUGCACCAACACUAGACGAGAGCUCUCCAGCGGCUGAGAGCACCAAUAUCCAACAUUUGGUGGUAGAGCAGACACUUCAAGAGUGGCAAUCUCUACGUUCCCAGCAAGACCAAGAGUAUAAUGAAUCUUUGUUAGCAGACCAAGAAAAGGAAAGGAGAAAACAGUGUUACAAGGCCUGGGAGGAAAGACGUAAAAAGG